AUACGGAGGGAGCAAGCGUUGUUCGGAUUUACUGGGCGUAAAGCGCACGUAGGUGGCGCGACAAGUCGGGAGUGAAAUGCCACGGCCCAACCGUGGAGGUGCUUCCGAAACUGUCGUGCUAGAGGAUGAGAGGGGAAGGCGGAAUUCCAGGUGUAGCGGUGAAAUGCACAGAUAUCUGGAGGAACACCGGUGGCGAAGGCGGCCUUCUGGAUCAUACCUGACACUGAGGUGCGAAAGCGUGGGGAGCGAACAGGAUUAGAAACCCUAGUAGUCC
This 274-nucleotide ribosomal RNA is filed under the name uncultured bacterium. RNAcentral describes it as "partial 16S ribosomal RNA". It matches the Rfam family "Bacterial small subunit ribosomal RNA", at positions 523 to 796 of the family's 1533-position model. The record is from RNAcentral.